GAUGAACGCUGGCGGCGUGCCUAAUACAUGCAAGUCGAGCGAACAGACGAGGAGCUUGCUCCUCUGACGUUAGCGGCGGACGGGUGAGUAACACGUGGAUAACCUACCUAUAAGACUUGGAUAACUUCGGGAAACCGGAGCUAAUACCGGAUAAUAUAUUGAACCGCAUGGUUCAAUAGUGAAAGACGGUUUUGCUGUCACUUAUAGAUUGAUCCGCGCCGCAUUAGCUAGUUGGUAAGGUAACGGCUUACCAAGGCAACGAUGCGUAGCCGACCUGAUAGGGUGAUCGGCCACACUGUAACUGAGACACGGUACAGACUCCUACGGGAGGCAGCAGUAGGGAAUCUGCCGCAAUGGGCGAAAGCCUGAAGGAGCAACGCCGCGUGAGUGAUGAAGGUCUUCGGAUCGUAAAACUCUGUUAUUAGGGAAGAACAAAUGUGUAAGUAACUAUGCACGUCUUGACGGUACCUAAUCAGAAAGCCACGGCUAACUACGUG
Molecule: ribosomal RNA, 497 nt
Filed under: uncultured bacterium
Lineage: Bacteria
Description: partial 16S ribosomal RNA
Rfam family: Bacterial small subunit ribosomal RNA
Source: RNAcentral